GCCUGGGUGGCUCAGUCGGUUGAGCGUCCGACUUCGGCUCGGGUCACGAUCUCACGGUCUGUGGGUUCGAGCCCCACGUCGGGCU
Molecule: transfer RNA, 85 nt
Filed under: Felis catus (domestic cat)
Lineage: Eukaryota; Metazoa; Chordata; Mammalia; Carnivora; Felidae
Rfam family: tRNA
About the family: Transfer RNA (tRNA) molecules are approximately 80 nucleotides in length. Their secondary structure includes four short double-helical elements and three loops (D, anti-codon, and T loops).
Source: Rfam by way of RNAcentral